Molecule: long non-coding RNA, 201 nt
Organism: Panicum virgatum (switchgrass)
Lineage: Eukaryota; Viridiplantae; Streptophyta; Magnoliopsida; Poales; Poaceae
Exons: 2
Source: RefSeq, a predicted model, not a curated record
CACCAUGGCUGUGAUCUGUUCCGGUGGUCCAAUCUAGGAUGAUCCUGUUAUUUUUGCGCUGAAAGGAUCACCCGGUAACCUUGCAUAUUCCGUUGAAGAAGCUGCAAGCUAGAAGAAUGUUAGGUUAGAUGUGUGCAAAGAUGUUUAUUGGCUUUUCUUUUGUUCCUGGCUGGAAAGAGUGUAGUAGUCAAAUUUUGUUCA